Molecule: ribosomal RNA, 553 nt
Filed under: Arthrobacter sp. BL12
Lineage: Bacteria; Bacillati; Actinomycetota; Actinomycetes; Micrococcales; Micrococcaceae
Description: bacterial SSU rRNA
Rfam family: Bacterial small subunit ribosomal RNA
Source: RNAcentral
GCUUGCUGGGGGGAUUAGUGGCGAACGGGUGAGUAACACGUGAGUAACCUGCCCUUGACUCUGGGAUAAGCCUGGGAAACUGGGUCUAAUACCGGAUAUGACUCCUCAUCGCAUGGUGGGGGGUGGAAAGCUUUUGUGGUUUUGGAUGGACUCGCGGCCUAUCAGCUUGUUGGUGGGGUAAUGGCCUACCAAGGCGACGACGGGUAGCCGGCCUGAGAGGGUGACCGGCCACACUGGGACUGAGACACGGCCCAGACUCCUACGGGAGGCAGCAGUGGGGAAUAUUGCACAAUGGGCGGAAGCCUGAUGCAGCGACGCCGCGUGAGGGAUGACGGCCUUCGGGUUGUAAACCUCUUUCAGUAGGGAAGAAGCCGCAAGGUGACGGUACCUGCAGAAGAAGCGCCGGCUAACUACGUGCCAGCAGCCGCGGUAAUACGUAGGGCGCAAGCGUUAUCCGGAAUUAUUGGGCGUAAAGAGCUCGUACGCGGUUUGUCGCGUCUGCUGUGAAAGACCGGGGCUCAACUCCGGUUCUGCAGUGGGUACGGGCAGACUA